RNAcentral lists this ribosomal RNA (789 nucleotides) under Bathymunida balssi. Its description in RNAcentral is "bacterial SSU rRNA". It matches the Rfam family "Eukaryotic small subunit ribosomal RNA", at positions 962 to 1793 of the family's 1831-position model. Lineage: Eukaryota; Metazoa; Arthropoda; Malacostraca; Decapoda; Munididae. The record is from RNAcentral.
GCAUUUGCCAAGGAUGUUUUCAUUAAUCAAGAACGAAAGUUAGAGGUUGAAGGCGAUCAGAUACCGCCCUAGUUCUAACCCUAAACGAUGCUAACCAGCAAUCCGUUGGGGUUAUUCCCAUGGCCUGACGGGCAGCUUCCGGGAAACCAAAGUCUUUGAGUUUCGGGGGGAGUAUGGUUGCAAAGCUGAAACUUAAAGGAAUUGACGGAAGGGCACCACCAGGAGUGGAGCCUGUGGCUUAAUUUGACUCAACACGGGGAACCUUACCAGGCCCAGACACUAGAAGGAUUGACAGAUUAAAAGUUCUUUCUUGAUUCAGUGGGUGGUGGUGCAUGGCCGUUCUUAGUUGGUGGAGUGAUUUGUCUGGUUAAUUCCGAUAACGAACGAGACUCUGGCCUAUUAACUAGUCGACGGAUACAUUGUUGUCCAGUUCGCAACUUCUUCUUAGAGGGAUAAGCGGUAUGUCCUAGCCGCAUGAGAUUGAGCAAUAACAGGUCUGUGAUGCCCUUAGAUGUUCUGGGCUGCACGCGCGCUACACUGAAGGGAUCAAUGAGUUUUCCUUCUCCGAGAGGAGAGGGUAACCAGAUGAACCCCCUUCGUGAUAGGGAUUGGGGCUUGCAAUUUUUUCCCAUGAACGAGGAAUUCCCAGUAAGCGCAAGUUAUCAUCUUGUGUUGAUUACGUCCCUGCCCUUGUACACACCGCCCGUCGCUACUACCGAUUGGAUGAUUUAGUGAGGACCUUGGACUGCAGUCUCUUGGCAGACAGAAAAUUGUCCGAACKUGAUUAUC